UGUCGUCAGCUCGUGUUGUGAAAUGUUGGGUUAAGUCCCGCAACGAGCGCAACCCUUAUCCUUUGUUGCCAGCGGUCCGGCCGGGAACUCAAAGGAGACUGCCAGUGAUAAACUGGAGGAAGGUGGGGAUGACGUCAAGUCAUCAUGGCCCUUACGACCAGGGCUACACACGUGCUACAAUGGCGCAUACAAAGAGAAGCGACCUCGCGAGAGCAAGCGGACCUCAUAAAGUGCGUCGUAGUCCGGAUUGGAGUCUGCAACUCGACUCCAUGAAGUC
This 277-nucleotide ribosomal RNA is filed under the name Escherichia coli. RNAcentral's name for it is "partial 16S ribosomal RNA". It matches the Rfam family "Bacterial small subunit ribosomal RNA", at positions 1050 to 1327 of the family's 1533-position model. Lineage: Bacteria; Pseudomonadati; Pseudomonadota; Gammaproteobacteria; Enterobacterales; Enterobacteriaceae. The record is from RNAcentral.